Sorex araneus (European shrew) is the source of this 270-nucleotide unclassified non-coding RNA. Its record names the gene 7SK. It matches the Rfam family "7SK RNA". From Rfam's summary of the family: 7SK was discovered as an abundant small nuclear RNA in the mid-70s but a possible function has only recently been suggested. Two independent studies have found that 7SK RNA binds the CDK9/cyclin T complex (known as elongation factor P-TEFb). P-TEFb activates transcription by phosphorylating the C-terminal domain of RNA polymerase II. Lineage: Eukaryota; Metazoa; Chordata; Mammalia; Eulipotyphla; Soricidae. The record is from Ensembl.
GGAUGUGAGGGAUAUCUGACUGUGACAUCUGUCACCCUACUGAUUGCCAUGGUUGAGUCAACUGAUCUGGCUUGCAAGGCUCUUCCUCUUUCAGUGCUCUAUCUGCUUCUCUCUGGUAGCUGCAUAUUUGGUCUAAGAGAUCUUCCCUGGACAGAGAUGUAUUGUUCUUUGGUCGAGGGUAUACAAGUAGCUGUAUUCCUCUGCUAGAAUGCCUAAAUAAGCUCUCAAGAAUAAUUAAACACAGCAUGAUAAUGUCCUUUAAUGAAAUGG